AGAAUCUUACUUAAUUUACUUCACAGACAUAACCCUGGGUUUGAAUAAUUUGAGAUCACUACAAACUCAGUAGCUGAAGAUGUCACGGAUUUUAUUCUCUUAUAGUUCUGGAUCUCUGAGAAUAUCUGCCUGCAAGUUUACUUUCCAACCAAGCCAAAAAUCAACAACAGCUUCAACAGCAGCAACAACAAUGACACGUAGCUUCUCAAAGGAAAUAUAACCAUCUGCAUUCCACAGAGGAGCUUUCAGGGGCUUCAAAAUUUCAGACCUCCAAAUUUCGUCUGGGCCCUCAGUAUGGUGUCCAGUUUCCUAUUUUCAUGCUUUAAACCAAAAUGUGCCAAUGAACAAUUCCAAAGAACAAAAAGUAGUCUUUCCUAGACUAAUUAAGUGGAAAACGUGGAAAAAAAGGCACUCAUGCAUGAGAAAGAAAAAGAGAGAGAGGAGAUAGAAAAUUCAGCUAAUAGAAAAGACCUUCUUGAAAUUUAAUAGAAAAUAUGCAAUAACAAA
RNAcentral lists this long non-coding RNA (507 nucleotides) under Heterocephalus glaber (naked mole-rat). RNAcentral's name for it is "lncRNA (ENSHGLG00000033901.1)". The record is from RNAcentral. Lineage: Eukaryota; Metazoa; Chordata; Mammalia; Rodentia; Bathyergidae.